GACGAACGCUGGCGGCGUGCCUAAUACAUGCAAGUCGAACGAGAGCAACCGGUGCUUGCACUGGUGAAUCUAGUGGCGCACGGGUGAGUAACACGUGGGUAACCUGCCCAACAGAGGGGGAUAACAUCAGGAAACGGACGCUAAAACCGCAUAGGUCUUCGAACCGCAUGCUUUGAAGAGGAAAAGAGGCGCAAGCUUCUGCUGAUGGAUGGACCCGCUGUGCAUUAGCAAGUUGGUGAGGUAACGGCUCACCAAGGCCGUGGUGCAUAGCCGACCUGAGAGCGAGAUCGACCAGAUUGGGACUGAGACACGGCCCAAACUCCUACGGGAGGCAGCAGUAGGAAAUCUUCCGCGAUGUACGCAAGUCGGACGGAGCAACGCCGCGUGAGUGAAGAAGGUUUUCGGAUCGUAAAACUCUGUUGUUAGGGAAGAAGAAGUGCUAGAGUAACUGUUAGCGCCUUGACGGUAUCUAACCAGAAAGCCACGGCUAACUACGUG
RNAcentral lists this ribosomal RNA (498 nucleotides) under uncultured bacterium. RNAcentral's name for it is "partial 16S ribosomal RNA". It matches the Rfam family "Bacterial small subunit ribosomal RNA", at positions 28 to 507 of the family's 1533-position model. The record is from RNAcentral.